AUGGUGUGUGCGUCUGUCUGUGUCACGGUCUGUCUGUGUCAUGGUGUGUGUGUGUUUGUCAUGGUGUGUGUGUUUGUCAUGGUGUGUGUCUGUCUCUGUCAUGUAAUGUGUGUCUGUGUCACGGUGUGUGUGUGUCUGUGUCACGAUCUCUCUGUGUCUGUCUGUGUCGUGUAUGUGUCUGUGUCAAGGUCUGUGUUAUGGUGUGUGUGUCAAGGUGUGUGUGUCUUUUUUAAGGUGUGUCUGUC
Non-coding RNA from Pelobates cultripes (western spadefoot toad), 245 nucleotides. NCBI's taxonomy places the organism in Eukaryota, Metazoa, Chordata, Amphibia, Anura, Pelobatidae. The record is from the annotation of a GenBank genome assembly.